CCUACGGGAGGCAGCAGUGAGGAAUAUUGGUCAAUGGACGCAAGUCUGAACCAGCCAUGCCGCGUGCAGGAAGACGGCUCUAUGAGUUGUAAACUGCUUUUGUACGAGUGUAAACGCCGAUACGCGUGUCUGUCUGCAAGUCUCCUACGAAUACGGUCCGGCUAACUCCGUGCCGGCAGCCGUGGUAAUACGGAGGGGUCAAGCGUUAUCCGGAUUUAGUGGGCUUAAAGGGUGCGUAGGCGGUCUGAUAAGUUAGAGGUGAAAUCCGGGGGCUCAACUUCGGGAUUGGCGUUGAGACUGGUAGGCUAGAGAGUAGGUGCGGUAGGCGGAAUGUAUGGUGUAGCGGUGAAAUGCUUAGAGAUCAUGCAGAACACCGAUGGCGAAGGCAGCUUACCAAGCUGCGUCUGACGUUGAGGCACGAAAGCGUGGGGAGCAAACAGGAUUAGAUACCCCUGUAGUC
RNAcentral lists this ribosomal RNA (460 nucleotides) under uncultured bacterium. RNAcentral's name for it is "partial 16S ribosomal RNA". It matches the Rfam family "Bacterial small subunit ribosomal RNA", at positions 338 to 795 of the family's 1533-position model. The record is from RNAcentral.